CAUCAGGAUGUGCUCCCACUCCACUACUGGCUCACGCCAUCUUCUGCUUCCUUGUGGAUCAAACUUAAUGGAGACAACAAGGCUUGAAUCAGGAAGAGAAUUGGUUAUAAGCAGACAGAAAGAUUCAGAGAGACAGAGAGAGGCUAUGUACCCAAAUAUCCCACAGCAAUAAUAAAUUUGAUGCUCAAUUCAAAAGCAUUAAAUGAAAUCUGAAAUAUUCAUACAAAUCAAUCAGAAUUAAAGCCAAUAAUUCAAAACUAAAACAUAUAUAAUGCUUACCAAGCCGUAAGGGGUCUACCUUAAUGAUGUCCCACAACCAUGCAAGGCCAUGAAGGACAUCAUUAGCAUCAGGAUGCUCCCACUCCACUACUGCCUCACGCCAUUCUUUCGCUUUCUUGUGGAUGAAACUUAAUGCAGACAACAAGGCUUGAAUCAGGAAGAGAAUUGGUUACAAGCAGACAGAAGAUUCAGAGAGACAGAAAGAGGUUAUGUACGCAGAUAUCCCACAGCAAUAAUGAAUUUGGUGCUCAAUUCAAAAGCAUUAUAUGAAAUUGUCUGACAUGAGACUAGAGCAAUUAGGAUUACUGGAGAAUCCACCGCUUCUUGUGCCAUACCCAAAGCUAUGCAGAGUGUGGAUCCCCUUAGCUUCCCCAAAUGCAUCAUCUCUCCUUGAAAUGCCUUAACAACAAACAUUCUGCAGCUUUGGAAUCCUUCAUCGGCUGUCAAAUUAUCUACAAAAAGAUUUUCAAAUUAUUAAAAAGGCACAAACUUCAAAGCUAAUCAAAUUCUCAUUUAAAAUCUCGUCUUUAAAAAGACAAGAGUUAUCCAAUCCCACAUAAACAAAUUAAGAAUCUUCCUAUAAAUAAUAAAUAAAAAGAGGAAUUUUUGAUAAUAUUUAAUUAGUGUCUCAAAAUUAAAGGGACAAAUAUAAAAGGUGUUAGGAUUGUGAGAGAAAGAGAGGAAUCACCGAAACUUUAUAAAGGGACGAAGGACAUCCUUAGCGUUAGGAUCCUCCCACUCCACUACUGACUCCCACCAUUCUUUUGGUCUUAUAUACAUUUCUCUAAUAGAAGGGGGAGAUGGAAGACAAAUUGCCAUCCUCUUCAGCUUCUCACAUAUGUCUACGUCAAUUUUUUGGAGAGAAUUGCAAAUUAAUUUUGCACUACAAAUUCUUUUCAGUUCUGGUAACCAACUCAAUUCCAAUUCUCUUAACUUUGGGAUUCUGAACUCGAUGUUGUUGUUGCUGCUUUCUUCAUCUGAUCUUGUUCCACUUAUUAUCUCCUCCAUCUUCUCACAUCCUACAACUAUAAUCUUUUCUAGGUUUAAGAGACAAAUCCAAGAAGAUGGAACCAAGAUCUCCAUGCUAUCGCAAAUCAUUACUUCCAUUUGUUGGAGAGAAUCACAAAUCAGUUUUGCACUACAAAUUCUUUUCAGUUCUGGUAACAUACUCAAUUUCAAUUCUCUUAACUUUGGGAGUUUGAAUUCGGUGUUGCUACUGCUGCUUUCUUCAUCUGAUUUUGUUCCACCUAUUAUCUCCUUCAUCUUCUUACAUCCUAAUACUGUAAUCUUUUCUAGGUUUACGAGGGAAGUCCAAGAAGAUGGAACCAAGCUCUCUAUGCUGUUGCAAUUCCGUACUUUAAUUUGUUGGAGAGAAUCGCAAAUCAGUUUUGCACUACAAAUUCUUUUCAGUUCUGGUAAAUUUUCUAAUGCCAGAGAUCUUAACUUUGGGAGUUUGAAUUCGGUGUUGCUACUGUUGCUUUCUUCAUCUGAUCUUGUUCCACCUAUUAUCUCCUUCAUCUUCGUACAUCCUGCAACUGUAAUCUCUUCUAGGUUUACGAGGCAAAUCCAAGAAGAUGGAACCGAGAUUUCCAUGCUCUUGCAAUUCUGUACUUCAAUUUGUUGGAGAGAAUCGCACAUCAAUUUUGCUCUACAAAUGCUUUUCAGUUCUGGUAAAUUAAACAAUGCUAGAGAUCUUAACUUUGGGAGUUUGAAUUCGGUGCUGCUGCUGUUGCUGCUGCUGCUGCUUUCUUCAUCUGAUCUUGUUCCUGUAAAGAUAUCAACGGCUUUACGUCUACCAAGUGUCAGAAGAUUAGAGAUUGAUAUUGUUAGAAUGUUGUUAGUAUUGUUUGUUAGCUAAGAGAGUUUGUUAGUAUUGUUUCAGUGCUAAGAGAAAGAACAGAUACCGUGUAUUAUCUUUCUAAUAUAGCCUAUAUAAACUGAGGAUUAGUGAUGUGAAAAUAAUGAAAGAAAAAGUAAUAAUAAAACAGUGCGAGACUUCAUCUUCUGCUUCUCUGUAACAGAAUUAUUCUAUAUUCUUCUUUCCUUUCUAUUCUCUGCACUUUCUUCAUUUCUGCUCCUUUUCUGUAUAAAUUCUACCGUCUAUCAUGGUAUCAGAGCAGUAACUGGUCCGAUGGGAUGUCUUCUGAUUGUCAAGAAUUAUACUGGCGAUCGUCUAAAUUUUGGUUUGGCUGCUAAGCAAGCAAAAUCUGAAGGUUAUAAAGUAGAGACUGUAAUUGUUGGAGAUGACUGUGCUUUACCUUCACCUCGAGGCAUAGCUGGACGAAGAGGGUUGACGGGGACUAUUCUUGUUCAUAAGGUUGCUGCAGCUGCAGUUGCUGUUGGCCUUUCUCUUGAUGAAGUUGCUGCAGAAGCGAAACGUGCAUCUGAAAUGGUUCUAAUAUCUUGCUAAUCUCUGUUUAUGUGGAGAGAGCAAUACGGUCUCUUAAGAUUCAUACUUCUCAACAAGCUUGCACAAAGAGGCACUAAAUUGCUUUUGGCCACUUGCCAGAGCAAGUACGAUAGUCUUCUCCAUCAAAUCCUGAAGAAGAUCAAUAUAUAACAAAGAGUCGCCGCCAAUGUAUUACCAGCAGCCAUUAAUCUCUGUUUCUGGCAUUAUUAUCUCCUUAUCUACACAAUUCUUUCAUAAUAAUCGAUCUGUCUAUCAUUUGUUUGAUAUAUUGUCAAACUGAAAAAUUCUUCUUCAAAUCUUCAACUUUCUGCAAGAUUCUUCCUUCUCAAUCUUUGAUUCUCUUCUUUUCUAUCUCUUGCACUCUAAAAAUGGCGACUACUUCUCAACUUCAGAUAGUUCAACUCUAAUAAGAGAAUAUACACAUAAACGUUUUCUUCUUCCUCUGCACUACAUAAUUUCUCUCUGCUUCUCUUCAUCUCUAUUCUCUGCUUUUCUUCUCUUCAUCUCUAUUGCUUCUAUUCUCUGCUUUUCUAUUGCAGUAUCUCCCUCUAAUUCUAUUCACUUCUUUGUUCAUCUCUGUGACGAUUCUUGCUAGCUUUUCAAAAUAUUUCUUCUAUCUCCAUUGCUUCCAAUCCAGUGUUCCAUUCCAGGAUGAAACAUCUCCAGAUCGAUUAUCACUUUGUUAGGGAACGGGUUAUCAAGGGUGAUUUACUGGUCCAGCAUGUCUUCUCUACUGAUCAGUUUGCUGAUAUCCUCAUCAAAGGUCUUUCCAUUUCUUUGUUUCAGCAUCAUUGUUCCAAUCUCAUGCUUGGCUCCUCCAAGCCUGCGAUUGAGGGGGCAUGUAAAGAUAUCAACGGCUUUACGUCUACCAAGUGUCAGAAGAUUAGAGAUUGAUAUUGUUAGAAUGUUGUUAGUAUUGUUUGUUAGCUAAGAGAGUUUGUUAGUAUUGUUUCAGUGCUAAGAGAAAGAACAGAUACCGUGUAUUACCUUUCUAAUAUAGCCUAUAUAAACUGAGGAUUAGUGAUGUGAAAAUAAUGAAAGAAAAAGUAAUAAUAAAACAGUGCGAGACUUCAUCUUCUGCUUCUCUGUAACAGAAUUAUUCUAUAUUCUUCUUCCUUUCUAUUCUCCGCACUUUCUUCAUUUCUGCUCCUUUUCUGUAUAAAUUCUACCGUCUAUCAGUUCCACCUAUUAUCUCCUUCAUCUUCUUACAUUCUGCAACUAUAAUCUCUUCUAGGUUUACGAGGCAAAUCCAAGAAGAUGGAAUCAAGCUCUCCAUGUUGUUGCAAUUCCUUACUUCAAUUUGUUGGAGAGAAUCAUACAUCAGUUUUGCACUACAAAUGCUUUUCAGUUCUGGUAAAUUAAACAAUGCUAGAGAUCUUAACUUUGGAAGUUUGAAUUCGGUGUUGCUGCUGCUGCUUUCUUCAUCUGAUCUUGUUCCACCUAUUAUCUCCUCCAUUUUCUCACAUCCUCUAACUGUAAUUUCUUCUAGGUUUACGAGGCAAAUCCAAGAAGAUGGAAUCAAGCUCUCCAUGCUGUCGCAAUUCGUUACUUCAAUUUGUUGGAGAGAAUCGCACAUCAAUUUUGCACUAUAAAUGCUUUUCAGUUCUGGUAAAUUAAACAAUGCCAGAGAUCUUAACUUUGGGAGUUUGAAUUCGGUGCUGCUGUUGCUAUUUUCUUCAUCUGAUCUUGUUCCACCUAUUAUCUCCUUCAUCUUCUUACAUCUUGCAACUGUAAUCUGUUCUAGGUUUGCGAGGCAAAUCCAUGAAGAUGGAACCAAGCUCUUCAUGUUGUCGCAAUUCCAUACUUUAAUUUGUUGGAGAGAAUCGCACAUCAAUUUUGCACUACAAAUGCUUUUCAGUUUUGGUAAAUUAAACAAUGCCAGAGAUCUUAACUUUGGGAUUUUGAAUUCGGUGCUGCUGCUGCUGCUUUCUUCAUCUGAUCUUGUUCCACCUAUUAUCUCCUCCAUUUUCUCACAUCCUCUAACUGUAAUCUCUUCUAGGUUUACGAGGCAAAUCAAAGAAGAUGGAACCAAGAUUUCCAUGCUCUUGCAAUUCUUUACUUCAAUUUGUUGGAGAGAAUCGCACAUCAGUUUUGCUCUACAAAUGCUUUUCAGUUCUGGUAAAUUAAACAAUGCCAGAGAUCUUAACUUUGGGAGUUUGAAUUCGGUGCUGCUGCUGCUGCUGCUUUCUUCAUCUGAUCUUGUUCCACCUAUUAUAUCCUUCAUCUUCUUACAUCCUGCAACUAUAAUCUCUUCUAGGUUUACGAGGCAAAUCCAAGAAGAUGGAAUCAAGCUCUCCAUGCUGUUGCAAUUCAUUACUUCAAUUUGUUGGAGAGAAUCGCACAUCAGUUUUGCAUUACAAAUGCUUUUCAGUUCUGGUAAAUUAAACAAUGCCAGAAAUCUUAACUUUGGAAGUUUGAAUUCGGAGUUGCUGCUGCUGCUUUCUUCAUUUGAUCUUGUUCCACCUAUUAUCUCCUCCAUUUUCUCACAUUCAUCUACUCUAAUCUCUUCCAAGUUUACGAGGUUUAGCAGCAAGACAAAAGGGAACAACUUCUUCAUACUACUACAUCGAGAGCAAUUGAACUCUUUAAGACUAGAAAAUACACCAUUAUAAGAUGGCAAUGAUGUUGGAGAAGGGCCAAACCAAGAAGAUGAAACCAAGCUCUUCAUGCUAUUGCAAUCCUCAAUGUGGAUGACCUCCAGUUUAUUUGAAUGCUCUAUCAGAGAGGAAACAUCACAUGAACAUUUAUAAAUAAACAGUUGUUGAAUGUCAUUUGGGAACAUGACUUGAAAAUCUCCAUCUCCAUUGUUACAUAAAUUAUCCAACCUAACUGUUUUACUUGGUGAUGUACUUUGUGACGUCAAAUUACCCAACCCAACAAAAACAUAUUGACAUCUAUCUCGUGGUCCUACAAAAAUAUGGUAUGUACUUGGUGAUCGUGUCGUAUCCCGAGAAUUCAAAUACUCCACAAAGUCAGAUUGACCUUCAAAAUGGCAUGCCAAAAUUUCCAACUCCCCCAAGCAUCCUACUUCCUUUCCUUUAACUGUUACUGGAUAGUAGUUACGAUCAAUCCACUCCUCUAAUAUGAAGACUUGCAGGUGAGAGAGUUUUGGUAAUAUCCAACUAGGAAACUUCUUUUCACCACAUCCAUUCAUCCUCAGAUACCUCAGGUUGGAUAGACAUUGCAUGCCUUGAGGUAUCUUUUUAAGUGCCCUAGUACCAGAGAGAUCUAGCCUCUUCAGUGCUCCGAGCUUUUCUAAUGAUGGUACAUGCCUUAAACUUCUGCAUUCUUUGAGCAAUAAUGCAGUGAUACUCACCAGUGUAGAGACAGAAUUAGGCAAUUUUAUGAUGCUUGUACGAGACAAGUCAAGAACCUUGAGCCCAUGCAAUUGUGUGAAAAACGAAUUUGCAAUAAAUUGCAAAUGUAGAUUAUCACAUGGCAAUAGAGUUGAAAGAUUGGGGCAUCUUGGUGAAUAACUAGAAGGAAUUUCCUCGAAAUAACAAUCCUUCAUAUAGACUCUCACUAAAUUACCCAACCAAAUUGUUUUACUUCUGCCAGAAUUAGCUAUUUCAUUAUAAUAAUCUUCAUCCAGUGGUCCUACGCAAAUACUGUAUGUACUUAGUGAUCGAGUCUUAUCCCGAGAAUUGAGAUACUCCACAAAGUCAGAUUGACCUUCAAAAUGGCAUGCCAAAUUUUCCAACUCCCUCAAGCAUCCUACUUCCUUUCCUUUAAUUGUUACUGGAAAGUAGUCAUCACCAAUCUUCUCCUCUAAUAUGAAGACUUGCAGGUGAGAGAGUUUUGGUAAUAUCCCACUAGGAAACUCAUUUUCACCACAUCUAUUCAUCCUCAGAUACCUCAGGUUGGAUAGACAUUGCAGGCCUUGAGGUAUCUUUUCAAGUGCCAAAGUACCAGAGAGAUCUAGCCUCUUCAGUGCUCCGAGCUUUUCUAAUGAUGGUACAUACCUUAAACUUUCGCAUUCUUUGAGCAAUAAUGCAGUGAGACUCACCAGUUCAGAGACAGAAUCAGGCAAUUCUUUGAUUUCUGUACAAGACAGAUCAAGAACCUUGAGCCCAUGCAAUUGUGUGAAAAAAGAAUCUGCAAUAAAUUGCAACCCAUCAUUAUCACAAAGCAAUAGAGUUGAAAGAUUAGGACACCUUGGUGAAUGACUGGAAGGAAUUUCCGUGAAAAAACAACCCUUCAGAUAGACUCUCGCUAGAUUCUCUUUCCACAUAUCCACAUCUGGUAAUUCAUCAUUAUAUCCCCCAACCAUGACUGGAGUUUGUUUGGAGUAUUUGGUGGGCCAUGUCCCUAAUCAAGUCAUGCAUCUUGACAUAUCUACGAUCACCAUAACCAGCUCUUUCCAAUAAACAGACUUUUUCAAGUUUAUCAAGCAUCGUGUGGCCCUCGUCAAAUGCUGCUUGCCUCCUCCUCAUUUCUUCAAUUAUUCCCUCAUCGAUCAAAUAACCUAUCAGCUCCUCCCUUCCAAUCUUAUAAUCUUCAGGAUACAAUGCACAAUACAAGAGACAUUGUUGUGAUGCAAAAUCAUUUAACUGAUCAUAACUAAACCUCAAUAACCGGAAUACCUCAUCUUCCAUUUCCCUACAUUUUGAUUCUUUCAAUUUCUUCAAUGUAUUCCUCCACUCAUGUGGCUCAUCCACUCCCCUCAUGCUUCCUGCCAUUGUAAUAAUUCCCAACGGCAAACCAGCACAUUCCCUUACAACAUCCACAGCAAUUCGUUCCACUUCUGGAGAAAGUGUUAUGUCAUGUCCAAGUCUCUCAAUAAACAAAGCCCAAGCUUCUCUCUCCAAAAUAGGCUGCACUUUGAUUAUGUGUUGGGUUUUCAUUUGUUGACAAACCUUUUCUGAUCGAGUUGUAAGAAUAAGCUUGCAUCCCUCAACUUCGUCAGGAACUCCUAGCUUUUGUAGGUCAAAAGCCUUCCACAAAUCAUCUAAAAUCAGAACCCAUUUUUGUUUCUUCUUUAAUUCUUCUUUCAACGCGGCCGCUCUAUGCAGCUCCUCAUCUUCACUGGAAAGAUCUAAACCAAUACGUCUUGCGAGACUUGUCUGCAAUCUAUUAAUGCUGGUAUCCUGUGAAACAGUAACCCAGUAAACAUGAGUGUCUGGUCUUUCUAGAAGCUGAUUAUAUAUGUGCGUCACCAAUGCCGUCUUUCCCACUCCGCCCAUCCCAUAGAUGCCAAUACUUGAAACUUCAUUGCGCAUCAACAAAGAUGAGAUAGUCUUCUUGUGUUCUUCGAAUGCUUGACCCACCAUUUUUCUCGUUGGCAGUGCAUCUCCUUUAAUCUUAUUUGUGUUGCCUGCAACCCCUCCAGAAGAGCUAGCUCCUGCGCCAGGUUGCUCUGAUCUUCCACUAUUGUUCUCCACGUCCUCCUCCCCCAUUAAAAAAGCAGAGAUGGCAAUCUGAUCCCAAGGUUUCCCUUCUAAUUGUUGCAUCAGAUCUAUUCUUUGUGUAGCUUCCCCUGUAUUAUCAUGUGCAUCAAUCAUGAGUCUCCUGGAAUGCUGACUAGAUCCAUCACCAGUGUUUUCCAUGCUAUUUGCCGCUAAGUUCGGACAAAUUCUCUCUUCCUCCGCACCUAGUUCCAUGCCAUGUACUCCCACUUGUAUCCUCCCAGCAUGCCCUGCCAAACUGUCAAGUUCUGCAUUGCUUUGUUCCAACACUUGAACCAGUACUGGUUCUGUCCUGACUGCAACCAUGUUCUGCACAUCGUUCAUAUUGGCAUCAUUGUUUACUGAUGGAGAACAGAGUUGAGUAUCUGUUGGUCGGGAUGAAUCUCCUCGAGGCCCAUCUGUUUGAUAAAUUGAUGGCCUCUCAUGAGAACUAACUCUCUCCAGCUGCGCAAGUUCAGCCCCUCCAAUCAAAUCAUUUGCCCAUGCAAGUUCUCCAGUGAAAAAAGGUCCUCCUUGUUGUGCCAUCUCUACAUGUGUCACUUCAUUGUUCUGUUCUUGCGUUGAAGCUGAAAUUGCAUUAGCGACCUCGUUACUGCUUGAGCCCGCAACAGUUUUAAGUUUCUUUUUUGGAGGGCUAUUAUCAACUGCUUCACAAGCUGCAUCGUGAACUUCUGGUGGAACGUUUUCACAAAUUUUAACACCACGCCCUUUCUUUCUUGCCAAAUGCAAUUUGAUCCUCGUAAUGGAAGUACCUUCGGAAAAAAAAUGCCCACAAAACGUACACGUCAUGCCGCCACCACCACCAUCCAUCUUUUCAACAUAUUCCCAAAAAGGAUCAUUUGGUCGACUCAUUUUGAUCAGUGGCUCUAUAGAAAAGAAAAAAGAAAAAGAUAUGUCAACACGAUGCCCUAUUAAAAAAUAGAAAUUCAAAGGAACAUUGAAUAAAAAUCAAAGGAAGUUCCUCUUAAUGGAGGGAGUUAACAUCAGAAAGUUGUAUGUUCAAUUAACAGAAGAAAAAAACCAAUGAAUUAUGUAACUAGAUCAUAAAUCUCAAUCGAGUUUAAUUUUUUUUUUCCUCUUAAAUUUAUAAUAAACCUUAAACAAAAAUAAAAAACAAAGUGAACAGGUGCUCACAGUAUUUAUAACAAUAAAAAACAAAGUGAACAGGUGCUCACAUAAUAAUAAAAACCCGUGACCCAACUGCAUUCAAUAUUUAUUUUUCCUUAAAUUUAUAACAAACCUUAAUAAAUAAAUAAAUAUCAUCCAUAAAAGGGUAAACUGUGUAACAGAGAAUGGUAUAACGAGAUGAGAUGUGGAAGAGAUUGUUACAGUUAUAGCACAGAGAGAAGAAUGGUUCAAGAGAAAACAAUAAUGGAGGGGAAUCAAAAUCUCUGUUUGAUUUUUUUCUUUUUUGUGUUUUCAGUACACAAUAGCUUGGAAAAGUUUGUUAGCAAUAACCUGUUCGACCUCAAUAAUGUUGUUGUGGAAACUUUGUAAUGGAUCGAUCAGCAGAAAGAAACAUAUUAGAAUGAUUUUUUUUACAUUAAUAUAUUAAAUUAAAAAAUGUUAACGCGUGGACCCAUCAAUGUUUAUCAAUUUUCGAGUAUUUUCAUGACAUAUCGUCUUACAUUGCGAUUAAUAUUUAAGUAUAGAUCAAUUAAUUUUUUAAAUUAAUAAUAAAUUAUUUUAUUUUAUUUUAUUUUAAUUAGAAUUAUAAUUUAUAUGUGAGCCAACAUAUUAAAAACUUAAUGAAUUUCAUAUAUUAAGAAUUAUUUGUACAAAAUUAAAAUAUAAUGAUUAAUCAAAUACAAUUUUAUUAUAAAUAAGUUUUAGAAAUUAAGGAGUAAAAUAUAAUUAAUAAAAGAGAUUAAGAUUCUAGACCUAGAAAAAUCAAGUAAUGACUUGAUUGUAUAAAUUUCUAAAACUAUUAUGAAAUAAUAUAUAUGAUAUUUUUAAGGAGAUAAAAUGAUAUUUUAUCACUAAUAAGGUUGCCAAGUUUUUCAUAUAAAUAUAAUGUUAGAUCUCAUAUUUGUUUUUAUAUUCAUAUGAAGUGAUAAAACAUCUAAAAACAUAAAAAAAAAUUAAAAAUUAACACUAAAAGCAUAAUAACCCCUCUAUCCUAAAUCUUAUUGGUGGAUAACCCGUUUUUUUUUUAAGUAUUUUUUCAUAUUUUAAGCUUCUUAAAAAUUGUAGCACUCAUAAUCUCUAUAUUGUUAGGAAUAAUUCUUAUAUUUUUCAUGUAUCUAUAUGUCAGUAUGUGAGUCUCUCUAUAUAAAUUUAUAGUCGUGCAGUUAUUCACUAUUUGUCCCCUUCAAUUCCAGUGUUACAAAUAAGUUCAAGCUAAAAUAUUUUUCUUUGUUAUAUCCUAUUUAGUAAGGUUAUUAUAUAUCAUUCUUCUAAAAAAUUAACUAAGCUAUAAUAUGGGGUAAUAUACUUAUUCCUUUUUAAAACAAAUUAUUUUUAUAAUUUUAAAAUAUUUAAAUUAUUUUUCAAGUAUCAAAAACAUAGAUUAAUUAGUGUAAUGGAAAUGUAAUUAAAAUCAAGCGCCUUUAGGCCUCAUAUAUAAAUUCUUAACUCUCAAAAUUAUUCCAAUAAAUAUAUAUAAGGAAGAAAAACAUGCAGCUAAGACAGACAGACAAAAAAUAAUGAAAUACAUGGUUUUCCUUAAAAGAAAAGGGAACUUGAAAUACAAAGUCCUUGGCGUUUAUAGGAGGAGAAAAAAUAAAAGGUUAUGUUUAUUUUAUUCCACAGAUGAUGAAAUACUUAUUUUAAUUAGGCACUUUCCUUCACUAUUUUCUCGAGAUCUUUUAGUCACAAUUAAUAGCAAUUUUAAUUAAUUUUACUAAUUAGUAGGGAAUAAAUUUUGAUGGAUCAUGACUUCUAGGAUGAAAAUACUUAAUUAAAUAAAAUGCAAAAAUUACAACCCUUGGUGAUUUAAUAACCAGCAUGCUGUUUUAUUUGAAUGAAUCAAGCAAAACAAAAAAAAAAAAAAGUUUACCUGAACGUUUCUGGCAGCAAAAAAAAGUUCUCCAAGUGUUUGGUUACUAGUUUGCUUAAGCAAUCAGUAAAGAACAGGAAUCUGAGAGAGAAGAAUGGUUUAGAAAAAAAACAACCAACAUGGAAGAAUUAAGCAAUAAAAAACAAAAAAUAUAUAGUUUACCUGCAAAAAAAAGAGGUUCUUCAAGAGUGGUUACAGGUUAGCUUAAGCAAUCAGAAAAGAACAGGGAUCUGAGAGAGAAGAACGGCUUAGAAAAGAAUGGUAGCAGAGAGAGUGUGGAAGAGAUUGAAUGUCAAGAGGAGGUUCUGCAGCUGCUUCGUUGGCUUAAGCAGACAGACAAGGGAUAUAAUAGGCACAGAGAGAAGAGUGGUUCAAGAAAACAAAUCAAUAAUGUAAACAAUUGCUUGGAAGAGUUUUAUAGGAAUCAACAAACUGUUAAAUAUUUCACAUGUCAAUUGAUACCCACCUCGCAUAACGUGGCAACCCAUUUGUUGUUAAAACUUCGAAAACCCAAAUACUGUGAUCUGUUCGAAUGUUAAUUGUAUAAUUAAGAAAGGCAGGCGACCUCAAAUUCAAUAACGUUCAAACUUGGAAACUGCAAAUCAAUUACCUAAGGAUUAUAUAUAUAUAUAUAUAUAUAUAGUGUAGUGGACACCACAAAAAAAGGCAGCAGUGAUCAUUCGGCCCUAGCCGGCCACGAAGUCUUCCAUUCCUAAAAGUAAAUUGUAUAAUUAAGAAAAGCUAAAUUGCUAAAUUUAAAAACAGGACCAUCUGAGAAGCCGGCAUACAACAACAUGUCAAAGAUCCCUUUUUCAAAAAUAGACUAUGUAUCAUGUAGUUUAACAUCUCUAAGCAUAAUUUUUGCGAUCAAUCUCUUCAACAGUGAAGCUAGCUAUCCAAUAUUCGAGCGCUUCAAGGGAAAGAACAUCUCCUUUUUGUGCCAUCACUUCAUUGUUUUGUUCUUGCGCAGAAGCUGAAAUUGCAGUAGUUACCUCGUUAUUAUUGCUUGAGGACCAUCAAUUGCUGCACGGGCUGUAUCGUGAACUUCUUCUGGAACAUGUUUACAAAUCUUAACACCACGGCCUGUCACUCCUGAUAAAUGCAAUUUGAUCCUCGAAAUGGAAGAACGUUUCCCAAAUAAAUGCCCACAAAACUUGUGUAAUUAUUCGUAUAAAAUUGUGUAGAUGUGUAGGACGAAACUAAUAGCUCGUCGCUCAUAUAUGAUCGCAGCUAGUUCUUCCAGUAGUGAGGAUGACAUGUCUUUAGAUGCCGAUCAAGAAGAGGCAUUUGCACCGACUCGCGAUGCUGCCUCUUCCAGCGCGGUUUCACAGUCUAGAGACGGUGUGCCUUCAUAGUGAAAUCAAUUCACCCGCAAGUACGAGGAAUAUUGGAAGGACAACCUUUUAAUGUAAGUUUGUUUUGGUUUUAGUUUUUUUUAAUUAUAAUAUUAUUUAUGAACAACUAAUCAAUAUUUCAUUAAUUUAAUUUAUUUUCAAGUUCACAAACAUUGAGGCCGCCCGAGUAAUAUCAUCGGCAUUUAAAUCGUCGAUGGAGAUUCCAUUAUUUCAAUGCAGUCAGGUUUUCAGACAUCCUGAAUGAAGACCUUAUAUCGACGUAUUGUUUGACAAAUUAGAGGAUAAUGUUAAUUUUUAAUUUCCAGCUUAUUUUUAAUAAAUUAUUAUUAUAAUUGUAAAUAAAUUAUUAUUUUUAUUUUGAGAUAGUUUUGAGAUUUAUCUGUCCUACUCUCCAACUUGCAGAAAACAUUAACUCUGCUGCUAGAAAAUCAUUAACAAUGACCAUUGACAUUUGUUUCGCUCAUGAAUGAGAGGAUUUCUUAUGAUACCAUUCAUUAAUGACCAUUAUGAACAGUCCUUACAUAUGGGACACUUUGUCCAAAAGGCAUGGUAAUACAAUCCUUAAAGAGACCUCUUUAGGGCUUUUAUUUCAGUCCCAACAAUGAUGGUAGGAGGUCAGAUCUUCUCAAUAAUUAUGCAAUGUGAUUAUUGUUUUGAGUAAAUCUUUGAACAGGACAAUUUUAGUACACUGUCUUCAAUUUCAUCUUUGGUCAUUUCCAUGAUCUUCUCAAUAAUUUGCUUGUCCCUCAUUAACUCUACAGUUGAUUUCUCUAUAGUUUUUGAGAUAGAAAUCAUUAUGUUUAGUUUUAUUAUAUAUGAUACAAUUUAUUAUUUUUUAUUGGUUUCUUUUUUUCUUUGACUUAGUAUUCAUGAAGUAUAUUAAUUAUAUAUAGAAUAAAUUUAAUUUUUUAAAAAAUAAUAGAUCCAUAACUUGUAUUUAAUAAGAAUAACAACAUUCAUGAACUUGUUUUGGUUAAACAAAUAUAUAAUAUAAUAAUAAUUUAUAAUUUUAUAAUUAUAUAAUCACAAUACACGAUUUCAUGUAUUAACCUCAAUAUUUUAAAAAAAGAAGAAGAAUACUUUGAUAAAUUAAUUUUAUUAUUAAUUAAUGUAUAAAGUAAUAAAUUAUUAAUUUAUCAAAUAUCUUGAUUAAUUAAUAAAUUUUCAUAAUCCCAAAAUGUAUUAAUUGACAUAGAUUUAACUGUACAUGGGAAUUUGUAUGUGGCUCAGUGGCUGUAUUGAACCCAAGCAAGCUUUAAGAGCUUAAGAAAAACCCUCAAAUGGCCCAUCUUCCCACAAUUUAAUUUUCUUUUGCUGUUGUUGUUCGCAUAAACAAUCCAGGGAAGCACUGAUUUAUAUGUCAACCCAACUUCACAAUGGACAGCAGCAACCCAUUCUUGAAACAAUGCCCAGAUGCCAACAAGCAUGAAAACAGAGAAGAAAAGAUGGGAGCCUCGAGACACGAGAUUUCUUGAACAUCAUGCAUGGGAACCCAGAAUAUGGGAUAUCUUAGGGGUUCUGGUGAUAAGAAUGCAGCUUCACAACCAAGCUAUAUAUUUUAUACAUAGUACAUAGGCUCAAAGCCAUUACAGCCACUAAAGAAACCAGAAGAUGUGAACAAGAAGUCAAGUUUAAUUGGGAGAUGAUAUAGAUCGAAGCCAUCAUGACCAUUUGAGAGCACAGCUAAAAUGGAAGACAGCCCUGUAUGUUUGAAACUGUGUACAAUAAAAAACAAGCUAAAAGGCAGUCAAGUUUUCAGGUUUUAUGGUAGUCUUCGACUUGACAAAAAACCAUACAUCAAAACGCAUUUCCCUCCUCCUCCCCAACCGCUAGUACUAAUGGCUAAAUCAUCGCGCCGCCGAUAAAAUGAAGACAACUAGAGGAGUACUUAGAACCAAGCCAAGCCAACCAUAACACUAUCAGUUCCAUAAUCACCAAGCAUCCAUUACUAUGCAUAUACCGGGGCUAAAGUGGAACCAAGGGAAACAAUCAUAUAAGUGAACUGGAAGAAGAGCAUAGUUGCCGGCGUUCAUGUAUUUUUCUUUGGCUAUGAUCUUUUCAAUAUACUUUCGAUGAUUAUCCAAAAAAAGCAUAGUUGCCUGUGUUCAGGUAAGAUUCAGAGAAGCAUUGCCAGUGUUCAUGUAAGAAAGGAAGUCUUAAGAAAGUAAGCAUUAAACGGUUAUGGUUGAGGCUAAUAAUUCAUUAAAAUUAAAUUAAAGGCAGACAGAGAGAUUCAGAGAAAGAGAAAUACAAUCCAAUGUUAUAUUCUCCAACCAAAACUCGACGAAGGGAUUAGGGACAUCCUUGGCAUUAGGAUUCUCCCACCACAGAUAGUUGCCAUCUCUAUGCAUGAGACCUAAGCAGCCUGAAAAAGCCUCUCUAUCACCAUAAGCAGAACAGAGGACAUAACUGAAACAAUGUAAGAGUGAUUCAGAGUAUGCUUUCUUUCCUACCCUUAUUCAUUCAUAAAUAAGAGGCUUGUCAUCCUUCAAAAAGAUCACCCAGUAUUUAAAAGCCAUAAACUUUGAAAACAAUCAAACUCUCAAAAUUAAUUAACUUCCAUUUUUUGAGGGUUCACUGAAAAAUACUAUCCAUCAAGAAUAUUUGGAAUAUUCAUACAAAUCAAUCAGAAUUAAGACUAAUAAUUCAAAACUAAAACAUAUAAAUGUACAUGAAUUUAUUUUAAUAUACUGGUCAAGUUUUUAAUUAUUAUUUCAAAUAUUUCAUUACAUACAAUAAAAAAUAACAUCGUUUAAUAUUUUUUAAUACAAUUAUUUGCUUCUUUUUUUAACCCUUAACAAAGCACAGGCUCAAAGCUUAGUAGUUUUUGUAGUUGAGCCAAGGACUACAACUCCAUUUAAUAUUUUUUAUUUUGAAUUUUUUUAAAAUAUUUUUUUAGCUUUAAAUUAAUAUUUUUUAGUAUUUUUAGAUUUUUUUGAUAUGAGGAUAUUAUAAUGAUUUUAUUUAAAUAAUUUUGAUGCAUUUACAAGAAAAAAACAGUUUGAAAAACAACUUCUACAACACUUUGAUAAUGCUUAAUAUUGUAGUAGCAGUUAUUUUUAAAAAUAUUUUUUAUUUAAAAACAUAUUAAAAUAACAUAUUUUUUAUUUUUUUAUUUUUUAAUAUUAGCAUAUCAAAACAAUUUAAAAAUAAUAAAAAAAUUAAUUUUAAAAAAUUAAUUGGACCGCGUAGGCUUUACAACUCGCAUCUUUAGCUUUAAGAUAACAUCAAGACCAUUAUUCUCUGCCUUCUCUCCCUAUUAGCAAUCACAGUUGCCAAAAGAAAAGGGUGAUUUUCACCUACAAGUAGUCAAAGGAUUGGUCUUCUCUGCUUACCAAAAAAAAAAAGGAUUGGUCUUCUCCGCAAGAUUACGGAGCCAAAUCAGUAGUGCAAAAUCAUCAGAUAUUUCUCCAAGGCUACUCUUGAUUUAGAAACCAUUUGCUACUUUCUCUUGGUAACUUUCCUGUUCUUCUUUGGUCUGCUCGUGACUUUUUGAAAGGUCUGCUGAACACACGAAAAAGAGCUAACUUCUUCCAAAUGACUUCUAUUUUAGCUCUGUAUUAGGCAUGUACACAUCAUAGAAACGAAUUGUUUGAUGGUUAUGUUAGGGAAAAUAUCAUGGUUGUCUCGCAUGAGCAACAAUGUCUAUAACAUUACACGGAUUAAAGUAUUAUGAGGCCUCAUAUUGGAUAUUGUGGCAUGUCCAGCAGAAAUCACAAUGGACUCCUCCAUUGUAGAAUGUUUGCAAACAGAACUGUAAUGCAGGAACCAUGCAUAGAUGAAGUUAGAAUUUUUGGAUUUGUUGACUUAGUGUGUGUUUGGCAUUAUGGUAGCUUAGUUAUUACCUGCAAUUGAAUCCCCUGUUAUUAUUGCAGGCAUUUUGAAGGCUGAUCAUGAUUUCGAAAGUCCAGCUACUGACAGGCACGGUCUUCUUUUGGCCUCUACUAAUGGAGUAUUUGCAUGUUCUUCCAUGGCAUGGGCACUGAUGACUAUGCUCUUCUUACAAGUUCCCUAUUUGACAGCUUUUUUAUCUUUUUUGAACAAUACAAGUUCCUUGUUAUUAUUGCAAAAUGAGUGCAAAGUCCAUUCGUUACUUGCCUACCAAUUGCCUUGGGCAAAUCUCAUCAAUUUCAGUAGAGCAAAUGCCUUAAUGAUAACUAUCUGUUUGAGGAUGUUUUACAAUGUCGAACAAGGGAGGGGAAACAAGAUCAUUAAUUCAUGUGUUUUUAGAAUACGUGGGGUUAUUUGAAACUUGUUGGUAUUUUUUAUUUGAAAAUAAAUAAAAAUAAUAUUUUUAAUUUUUAAAAUUUAUUUUUGACAUUAUUAUAUCAAAACUAUUAAAAACACUAAAAACUUUUAAUUUAAAAUAAAAAUAUAUUUCUUCAAAAUUUGAUGAAAAACCGCACCCACAGCCCCACGCAGCUUCAAACAGGGCCUUGUCAAAAGAUUUUUUUUUCUACAAUGUUGCAAAAAUCAACUAAUAAUCAUAAUUUUUUUUCAUUGUAGUUGUAAAACUCAAUCUCACAGGUUAGUCUAACGGGUUGACUUUUGAAACUCAAGACUUAGAGCCUAACCUGUACUGGGUAAACCGGCAAAGCCCUUACUCAGUAGCUCAUUUGGCCUCAAUCUGGGGAGCCAUUGUCUGACCCGAUGACUUAUUUUUAUUCUAUUCCAAUUUCUAGGCUGGAUAUGUCCUUUAUGGCCUUUAAAUAUCCAAGAGGAAAUCGCAUUUUGUUCUGCCAAAUCUUUCGUUGCUUAAGAAUCUACUAUGAGCCAACAGGUUUGGAUUUGUUUUGCCUUUAUGCAAAUUUUUAUUGGCUUUUGUCUCCCUAAGGUUUUCAUUUAGAAAAAUCUUGACAUAUAGCAUAAUUUGAGAGGAAGGGGAGCAAAAUGUUGAACAAUUUCAAUAUCCAAGAUCCAUCAGAAAAAUCUCAUCCAUGAGAGAAGGUGAUAAAGAUAUGAAUUCCAAAGAAAAUCACUACGUUUUAGAAAUAACUGUUGAAGUCUUUUUUAUCAGUGAUCUGAAUAAAAGAACCCAAUAUUGGUUUAGAUUAAUAUUUAUUUAGUUUAAUUACAAGGUAAAGCAUAUAAAUUCUAUAUCAUAUGUCUUUCAUCGAUGAUCUCAUGAAUUUUGCUGAUGGAUCUCGUUAGAGUUUGAAAAGCAAAUAAUUAUUCUAGCUUCUAACUUGUUAAGAAAGAGGAAGAGAUACUUGGAGGAAGACAAUUCUUUUUAUUCAUCAAUCUCAUUACAUAUGGGGAGAAAAAGAUUACAGAGUAAUUAAAAUCUAAUUCAUGAAUAUGUUGGGGAAAUCCGACUGAUGAAGUACUGAUAUUUGCUCAUUGAAGGUUAAACACACUGACAUAAUAUUUAACGUGGUUCGGCAAACCGUCUACAUCCACAGGAGAGUCAAUAUUAUUAGAGAUAGAUAGAGAAAGGGUUACAACACAAAUACAUGGAGGAGAAGGAUCACUUCACUCUACUCUACUCCCAUCUCUCAUUGUUGCACUUGUAGUUGCUGCAUUGGCUACUGCCAUUGCAAUUCUUAUCUCUUUCUCUCUUCACAUACUCUCUACAUUCUCAUUUUUAUUUUGCUCUCAAAUAAUGCCUCUAUUUAUAGGCAUUUCAUGGCGGACAAUUAUGAGUGCUUUUGUGCUGGAAUGGAAUAGAUAUGGCUUCUCAAUCUCUGAGUUCCAGUUGGGUAGAUAUCUUGGUGUGCCUCUCAUUAGUGGAAAGCUAAAUGAUGUUGAUUGCAUGCUGCUCCUGAAAAAAAAAAAAAAUCAUUACUGUUCAUUUCUUACGGGCUUGAAACUAAAUUCAUUGGGAAAUGCAGAGCUAAUUUCAACCCAAAAAUUUGCUUAUCAUUUUUAGUGAAUAAUGAAAUAGAUGAUGAUUAACACAGAUGAUGAUUGACAGUGAUCAUUGAAAUGAUGAAGAAGGUUACAAUCAAAACACACCCAGAGUGAUACAGUAGGUGCUUCAAAGUCUAGACAACACUUACGGAAAGAAGUCUGACGCAGGAGAUUCUAGAGGAGCUGGGCUAUCACAUACGUAGUUGAUAGCUUUGAACUACCUUGACAUGGCAGACCAGUGCAGGGACAGAAGGACACAAGAGUUUGGGUCCGAUUUGAAGAUGUUUUUGCACACUAUGAAACAAUAAGUUGUCAGGCUUAAGAUCUCUGUGCAUGAGAACAAGUGAAUCACAAGCCUCAAAAACCCCAACGAUGGCAUUAGGAUUCUCCCACCACAGAUAGUUGCCAUCUCUAUGCAUGAGACCUAAGCAGCCUGAAAAAGCCUCUCUAUCACGAUAAGCAGAACAGAGGGCAUAACUGAAACAGUGUAAGAAUGAUUCAGAGCAUGCUUUCAUUCCUACCCUUAUUCAUUCAUAAAUUAGAGGCUUGUCGUCCUUCACCAUCGUCCUGCAAAAAGUUAACCCAGUAAUUAAAAGCCAUAAACUUUGAAACCAAUCAAAUUCUAAAAAUUAAUGAACUUCCAUUUCUUUUGUGGGUUCGCUCAAAAAUACUAUCCAUCAAGCAUAUCUGGAAUAUUCAAACAAAUCAAUCAGAAUUAAUGCUUAUAAUUCAAAAUCUUGUCAGGCUUAGGUCUACCUUAAUGAUGUCCCACAACCAUGCAAGGCCAUGAAGGACAUCCUUAGCAUCAGGAUGCUCUCAGUGCACUACUGACGCACACCAUUCUUUUGUUUCCUUGUGAAUCGAACUUAAUGCAGACAACAAGGCUUGAAUCAGGAAGAGAAUUGGUUAUAAGCAGACAGAAAGAUUCAGAGAGACAGAGAGAGGCUAUGUACCCAGAUAUCCCACAGCAAUAAUAAAUUUGGUGCUCAAUUCAAAAGCAUUUUAUGAAAUUGUCUGACAUGAGAAAUUAGGAUUACUGGAGAAUCCACCGCUUAUUGUGCCAGGGGGUCUCCAUGCCCGAAGCUAUGCAGAGUGUGGAUCCCCUUAGCUUCCCCAAAUGCAUCAUCUCUCCUUGAAAUGCCUAGACAACAAACAUUCUGCAGGUCAAUGGAACUAUCUUCCAUAUUAAACAAAAACAAUACAUAAACAACAAACAUUCUGCAGGUCAAGGGAAUCCAAAAGAGACAAUAUGCUUUCUUCCAAAUCUUUAUUAAAUAAGCGGUUUGGAAUCCUUCACCGGCUGUCAAAUUAUCUACAAAAAGAUUAUCAAAUUAUUAAAAAGGCACAAACUUUAAAGCUAAUCAAAUUCUCAUUUAAAAUCUCGUCUUUAAAAAGACAAGAGUUACCCAAUCCCACAUAUACAAAUUAAGAAUCUUCCUAUAAAUAAUAAAUAAAAAGAGGAAUUUUGGAUAAUAUUUAAUUAGUGUCUCAAAUUUAAAGGGACAAAUAUAAAAGGUGUUACGAUUGGGGAUGGUAAAUUAAAAUCAUUAGGUUAAUCAAACUUGUAAACACACAGCAAUCAUUACGUGGAUGUGGUUGAGGCUAAUAAUUCAUCCAAAUUAAAUUAAGAUUGUGAGAGAAAGAGAGGAAUUACCUGUAAUUAAUUCAAUAUAUAUUAUAUUAUAUUGAAGGCGGAGUCGUUUCCUACCAAAACUUUACUAAAGGACGAAUGACAUCCUUAGUGUUAGGAUGCUCCCUCUCAACUACUGACUCCCACCAUUCUUUUGGAUAUACCCCGAUGUAUUUAAGAGAAGGGGGAGGAAAUGGCUGGCCAUUUUCAAGCAACGGAAGAGAAAUUGGAAUCCUCUUUAGCUUCUCACAUUUAUAAACUUCAAUCACUUGGAUAGAAUUGCAAAUCAGUUUUGCACUACAAAUUUUUUCCAGUUUUGGUAAAUCUGUCAAUUCCAGUUCUCUUAACUUUGGGAGUUUGAAUUCGGUGUUGUUGCUGCUGCUUUCUUCAUCUGAUCUUGUUCCACCUAUUAUCUCCUCCAUUUUCUCACAUCCUCUAACUGAAACCUCUUCUAGGUUUACGAGGCAAAUCCAAGAAGAUGGAACCAAGCUCUCCAUGCUGUUGCAAUUCCAUACUUCAAUUUGUUGGAGAGAAUCACACAUCAGUUUUGCACUACAAAUGCUUGUCAGUUCCGGUAAAUCUUUCAAUUCCAGUUUUCUUAACUUUGGAAGUUUGAAUUCGGUAUUGCUACUGCUGUUUUCUUCAUCUGAUCUUGUUCCACCUAUUAUCUCCUCCAUUUUCUCACAUCCUCUAACGAUAAUCUCUUCUAGGUUUACAAGGCAAAUCCAUGAAGAUGGAACCAAGCUCUCCAUGCUGUCGCAAUUCCAUACUAUAAUUUGUUGGAGAGAAUCGCACAUCAGUUUUGCACUACAAAUGCUUUUCAGUUUUGGUAACCAAUUCAAUUCCAGUUCUCUUAACUUUGGGAGUUUGAAUUCGGUGCUACUGCUGCUUUCUUCAUCUGAUCUUGUUCCACCUAUUAUCUCCUCCAUUUUCUCACAUCCUCUAACUGUAAUCUCUUCUAGGUUUACGAGGCUAAUCCAAGAAGAUGGAAUCAAGCUCUCCAUGUUGUCGCAAUUCCAUACUUCAAUUUGUUGGAGAGAAUCGCACAUCAGUUUUGCAUUACAAAUGCUUUUCAGUUUUGGUAACAACCUCAAUUCCAGUUUUCUUAACUUUGGGAGUUUGAAAUCGGUACUACUGCUGCUGCUUUCUUCAUCUGAUCUUGUUCCACCUAUUAUCUCCUCCAUUUUCUCACAUCCUCUAACUGAAAUCUCUUGUAGCGUUAAGAGGCAAAUCCAGGAAGGUGGAACCAAGCUCUCCAUGCUGUCGCAAUUCCAUACUUCAAUUUGUUGAAGAGAAUCGCACAUUAGUUUUGCACUACAAAUGCUUUUCAGUUCCGGUAAAUCUUUCAAUUCCAGUUUUCUUAACUUUGGAAGUUUGAAUUCAGUGGUGCUGCUGCUGCUUUCUUCAUCUGAUCUUGCUCCACCUAUUAUCUCCUCAAUUUUCUCACAUCUUCUAACUAAAAUCUCUUGUAGCUCUACGAGGCAUUUCCAAGAAGAUGGAACCAAGCUCUCCAUGCUAUCGCAAUUCCAUACUUCAAUUUGUUGGAGUGAAUCGCACAUCAAUUUUGCACUACAAAUGCUUUUCAGUUCCGGUAAAUCUUUCAAUUCUAGUUUUCUUAACUUUGGGAGUUUGAAUUCGGUACUGCUGCUGCUGCUUUCUUCAUCUGAUCUUGUUCCACCUAUUAUCUCCUUCAUUUUCUCACAUCCUCUAACUGAAAUCUCUACUAUGUUUACGAGGCAAAUCCAAGAAGAUGGAACCAAGCUCUCCAUGCUGUCGCAAUUCCAUACUUCAAUUUGUUUGAGAGAAUCGCACAUCAGUUUUGCACUACAAAUGCUUUUCAGUUUUGGUAACAACCUCAAUUCCAGUUUUCUUAACUUUGGGAGUUUGAAUUCGAUGCUGCUGCUGCUUUCUUCAUCUGAUCUUGUCCCACCUAUUAUCUCCUCCAUUUUCUCACAUCCUCUAACUGAAAUCUCUUCUAGGUUUACGAGGCAAAUCCAAGAAGAUGGAACCAAGCUCUCCAUGUUGUCGCAAUUCCAUACUUCAAUUUGUUUGAGAGAAUCACACAUCAGUUUUGCACUACAAAUGCUUUUCAGUUCUGGUAAAUCUUUCAAUUUCAGUUUUCUUAACUUUGGGAGUUUGAAUUCGGUACUACUGCUGCUGCUUUCUUCAUCUGAUCUUGUCCCACCUAUUAUGUCCUCCAUUUUCUCACAUCCUCUAACUGAAAUCUCUUCUAUGUUUACGAGGCAAAUCCAAGAAGAUGGAACCAAGCUCUCCAUGCUGUCGCAAUUCCAUACUUCAAUUUGUUUGAGAGAAUCGCACAUCAAUUUUGCACUACAAAUGCUUUUCAGUUUCGGUAAAUCUUUCAAUUCCAGUUUUCUUAACUUUGGGAGUUUGAAUUCGGUACUACUGCUGCUGCUUUCUUCAUCUGAUCUUGUUCCACCUAUUAUCUCCUCCAUUUUCUCACAUCCUAUAACUGUAAUCUCUUCUAGGUUUAUGAGGCAAAUCCAAGAAGAUGGAACCAAGCUCUCCAUGUUGUCGCAAUUCCAUACUUUAAUUUGUUUGAGAGAAUCGCACAUCAGUUUUGCACUACAAAUGCUUUUCAGUUCCGGUAAAUCUUUUAAUUCCAGUUUUCUUAACUUUGGGAGUUUGAAUUCGGUACUGCUGCUGCUGCUUUCUUCAUCUGAUCUUGUUCCACCUAUUAUCUCCUCCAUUUUCUCACAUCCUAUAACUGUAAUCUCUUCUAGGUUUAUGAGGUUUGGCAGCAAGACAAAAGGGCACAACUUCUUCAUACUACUACAUCCAGAGCAAAAGAGCUUUUGAAGACAAGAAAAUACACCAUUAUAAGAUGGCAAUGGUGUUGGAGAAGGGCAAAACCAAAAAGAUGAAACCAAGCUCUCCAUGCUAUUGCAAUCCUUAAUGCGGAUAACCUCCAGUUCAAUUGAAUGCUCUAUCAGAGAGGAAACAUCACAUGAACAUUUAUAAAUAUACAGUUGUUGAAUGUCAUUUGGGAACAUCUCCAUUGACGUCAAAUUACCCAACGCAACUGUUUUACUUGGUGAUGUACUUAGUGACCAGAAAUUAUCCAACUCAAAAAAAUCAUAUUCACAUCCAUCUUGUGGUCCUACAAAAAUACGGUAUGUAUAUAGUGAUCGUGUCUUAUCCCGAGAAUUGAGAUACUCCACAAAGUCAAAUUGAUCUUGAAAAUGGCAUUCCAAAUCUUCCAACUCCCUCAAGCAUCCUACUUCCUUUCCCUUAACUGUUACUGGAUCGUAGUCAAAAGAAGUCUUCAAAAUGGCUCUCUCUAAUAUGAAGACUUGCAGGUGAGAGAGUUGUGGUAAUAUCCCACUAGGAAACUCCUUGACACCACAUCUAUCCAUCCUCAGAUACCUCAGGUUGGAUAGACAUUGCAUGCCUUGAGGCAUCUUUUUAAGUAACUUAGUACCAGAGAGAUCUAACCUCUUCAGUGCUCCGAGCUUUUCUAAUGAUGGUACAUGCCUUAAAUCGCUGCAUCCUUUGAGCAAUAAUGCAGUGAGACUCACCAGUUCAGAGACAGAAUCAGGCAAUUUCAUGAUGAGAGUACCAGACAAAUCAAGAACCUUGAGCCCAUGCAAUCGUGUGAAAAACGAAUCUGCAAUAAAUUGCAACCUUUUAUUAUAACAUAGCAAUAGAGUUGAGAGAUUGUGACAGCUUGGUGAAUGCCCAGAAGGAAUUUCCUUGAAAAAACAAUCCUUCAAAUAGACUCUCCCUAGAUUCUCUUUCCACAUAUCCACAUCUGGCAAUCCUCCACCAUAAUCCCGAAUCAUGACUGGAGAGUUAGUUUGGAGUAUUUGGUGGGCCAUGUCCCUAAUCAAGUCAUGCAUCUUGACAUAUCUAUGAUCAUCAUACUUUUUAGUACUAGUUUCUAAUAAACAAACUUUUUCAAGUUUAUCAAGCAUCGUGUGGCCCUCGUCAAAUGCUGCUUGCCUACCCCUCAUUCCUUCAAUUAUUCCCUCAUCGAUCAAAUAACCUAUUAGCUCCUCCCUUUCAAUCCUAUGAUCUUCAGGAUACAAUGCACAAUACAAGAGACAUUGUUGUAAUGCUAAAUCAUUUAACUGAUCAUAACUAAACCUCAAUAACCGGAAUACCUCAUCUUCCAUUUCCCUACAUUUUGAUUCUUUCAAUUUCUUCAAUGUAUUCCUCCACUCAUAUACCUUAUCCACUCCCCUCAUGCUUCCUGCCAUUGUAAUAAUUCCCAAUGGCAAACCAGCACAUUCCUUUACAACAUCAACAGCAAUUCGUUUCACUUCUAGUGAAUCUGAUAUGUCAUGUCCAAGUCUCUCAAUAAACAAAUUCCAUGCUUCUUCCUCCAAAAUAGGCUGCACUUUGAUUGUGUGUUGGGUGUUCAUCUGUUCACAAAUCUUUUCUGAUCGAGUUGUAAGAAUAAGUUUGCAUCCCUCAACUUCGUCAGGAACUCCCAGCUUUUGUAGGUCAAAAGCCUUCCACAAAUCAUCUAAAAUCAGAACCCAUUUUUGUUUCUUCAUUAAUUCUUUUUUCAACGCGACUGCUCUAUGCAGCUCCUCAUCUUCACUGGAAAGAUCUAAACCAAUACGUCUUGCGAGACUUGUCUGCAAUCUAUUAAUGCUGGUAUCCUGUGAAACAGUAACCCAGUAAACAUGAGUGUCUGGUCUUUCUAGAAGCUGAUUAUAAAUGUGCGUCACCAAUGUGGUCUUUCCCACUCCGCCCAUCCCACAGAUACCAAUACUUGAAACUUCAUUGCGCAUCAACAAAGAUGAGAUGGUCUUCUUAUGUUCUUCGAAUGCUUGACCCACCAUUUUUCUCGUUGGCAGUGCAUCUCCUUUAUUCUCAUUUGCAUCUCCUUUAUUCUCAUUUGUGUUGCAUGCAGCCCCUCCAGAAGAGCUAGCUCCUGCUCCAGGCUGCACUAAUCUUCCGCGAUUGUUCUCCACGUCCUCCUCCCCCAAUAAAAAAGCAGAGAUUGCAUUCAUCUGACCCCAAGUUUCCCCUUCUAAUUGUUGCACUAGAUCUAUUCUUUGUGUUGCUUCCCCUGUAUUAUAAUGUGCAUCAAUCAUGAGUCUCCUGGAAUGCUGACUAGAUCCAUCACCAGUGUUUUCCAUGCCAUUUUCCGCUUCUAAAUGCGAGCAAAUUCUCUCUUCCUGCUCACCUUGUUCCAUGUCUUGAACUACCACUUGUAUCCUUCCAGCAUCCUCUGCCAAAUUGUCAACCGCAUUGCUUUGCUCCAACACUUGAACCAGUAUUGGUUCUGUCAUGCUUACUAUGUUGUUUCUUGCUAUUGCAUGUGAAGAAAUCCUCUCUUCCCCUACUCCGCAUCCCACACCAUGAACUUCUGUUUGUAGCCUUCCAAUAUCUCUUCCCAUAUUUUCAAUCUGAAUGUUUUGUUCAUGUGGACAAGUUGAAAUUGCGCAAUCAUGAACAUUGCUUGAACUUGCUAUGCUUUUACGUCUUUUGUUACCCCCACGCAUAGCUAGAAAGGCUUCUUCUUGAACUUCUUUAGGAACCUGACCGCAAGUGGCAACACCAUGCCCUCUCUCUCCUGACAAAUGCCAUUUGAUCCUCGAAAUGGAAGUAUCUUUGGCAAAUGGAUGCCCACAAAACUUACACCUCAUGCUACCAUCAUUCAUAUCUUCAACAUCAUUCCAAAAUGGAUCAUUUGAUCGAACCAUUUUAUCCUAUAGAAAAAAAAAGUCAAAAUUAUUGAAUUAAAAUUAAUGGAAGUUACAUUAAUUGGAAAAGGAAAUGUUUAAACUAAAAUAAUUUGUAAAAAAACAGCAAAGAACUAAAAACUGAGAGAUCGAUUGAUUCAUUUAUGGAAACUACUAAUUAUCCUAACUCCAAAGUUUCUAAAUAAAAUUUCUCCAACGUGUCUUUUACUUAAAAAGAUUCAAGCAAUAGUUGCAGGUGAAAAACAGCAACACCAACAAGACGAAGAAGAUGAAGUAAAAAUACUUUACCUGGAUUCAAGAUGUCCUCCAAGAGCUGCCUUGCCUGAGCAGUAUUCAGAAAAAAAGAGCAAAAAGCACGGGCAAGAGAAGAGUAUAUGGUUUUAAGAAUAAUUUACUGGGAACAGAGAAUGGUAUAAUGAGAUGAGAUGUGGAAGAGAUUGUUACAGUAAUAGCACAGAGAGAAGAGCGGUUCAGGAGAAAACAAUAAUGGAGGGGAAGCAAAAUCUCUGUUUGAUUUUUUCUUUUUUGUGUUUUCAGUACAAUGGUCAACAAUAGCCUGGAAGAGUUGUUGGGGAAACUUUGCAAAGGAUCUGCAGAAAGAAAUAUAUUAGAAUGAAUUUUUUUAUAUUAAUAUAUUGAAAUAAAAAAUGUUAACGCUUGGACCCGUCAAUGUUUAUCAAUUUUCCAGUAUAGUCAUGACAUAUUGAAUUGCGUGUUUAAUAUUUAAAUAUAAAUUAAUUAAUUUAUUAAAUUGAUAAUAAAUUAAAUAAUUUUAUUCAUUUUAUUUUAUUUUAAUUAGAAUUAUAAUUUAUAUGUAAGCAAACAUAUUACAAACUUAAUGAAGCUUAGAUAUUAAGAAUUAUUUGUACAAAAUUAAAAUAUAAUGAUUAAUAAAAUAUAAUUUUAUUAUAAAUAAGUUUUAAAAAUUAAAAAAUAGAAUAUAAUUAAUAAAGGAGACUAAGAUUCUAAUAUAUUUCAUAUUUUAAGCUUCUUUAUUUAAAGGAGAAUAUAAUGAUUAAUAAAAUACAGUUUUAAAAAAGUAUUUUUCAUAUUUUAAGCUUCUUAAAAAUUGUAAGCACGCAUAAUCUUUAUAUUGUUAGGAAUAGACUCCUCAUCUAUGUCUAUAUGUCACUACGUGAGUCUCUCUCUCUAUAUAUAUUUAUACCUCAUAAUCUUUAUAAUAUUGUUAGGAAUAAACACAAGAAUAUGAUUUAUUAAUAAGUGUAAUGGAAAUAUAAUUAAGAUGAAGCGCCUUUGGGCUUCAUAUAAAUUUUAACUCUCAAAAUUAUUCCAAUAUAUAUAAAAGAAGAAAAACUUGCCACUAAGACAGACAGACAGACGACAAAAAAAAAAAAAAAAAAACUUGGUGGAUCAUGACAUCGUUUUCCUUAAAAGAAAAGGGAACUUGAAAUACAAAGUCCUUGGCGUUUAUAGGAGGAGAAAAAAAAAGAGGUUACGUUUAUUUUUUCCCACAGAUGAUGAAAUACUUAUUUUAAUUAGGCCCUUUCCUUCACUAUUUUCUCGAGAUCAUUUAGUCACAAUUAAUAGCAAUUUUAAUUAAUUUUACUAAUUAGUAGGCAAUAAAUUUUGGUGGAUUAUGACUUCCUAGAUCAAAGUACUUAAUUAAAUAAUAUGCAAAAAUUACGACCCUUGAUAAUUUAAUAACCGGUUUUACUUGAAUGAAUCAAGCAACAAAAAGAUAAAUAGUUUACCUGAAUGUUUCUGGCAGCAAAAUGAGGUUCUUCAAGUGUCUGGUUACUGGUUUGUUUAAGCAAUCAGUAAAGAACAGGGAUCUGAGAGAGAAGAAUGGGUUAGAAAAGAAACAACCAGCAUGGAAGAAUCGAGCAAUAAAAAACAAAAUAUAAAUAGUUUACCUGCAAAAAUGGGGUUCUCCAAGUGUUUGGUUAAAGGUUUGCUUAAGCAAUCAGAAAAGAAAAAGGAUCUGAGAGAGAAGAAUGGCAGAGAGAGUGCGGAAGAGAUUGAAUGUUAAAAGGAGCUUCUGCAGCUGCUUCGUUGGUUUAAGCAGACAGAAAAGGGAUAUAAUAGGCACAGAGAGAAAAGUGGUUCAAACAAAUCAAUAAUGUAAACAAUUGCUUGGAAGAGUUUCAUAGGAAUCAACAAACUGUUAAAUAUUUCACGUGGCAACCCAUUCGUUGUUAAAACUUCGAAAACCCCCAAAUACUGUGGAUAUUAUAUGAUUUAGAUUGGCUGUGACCUGUUCGAAUGUUAACGAGUGGAAAUUCAGAAGGGCUGUAACCUGUUCGAAUGUUAAUUGUAUAAUUAAGAAAGGCAGGCGACCUCAAUAACGUUCAAACUUGGAAACUGCAAAUCAAUUACCUAAGGAUUAUAUAUAUAUAUAUAUAUAUAUAUAUAGUAUAGUGUAGUGGACACCACCAAAAAAGGCAGCAGUGAUCAUUCGGCCCUAGCCGCCCACGAACUCUCCCAUUCCCAUUCCCACUACCAAAAGCAAAUUGUAUAAUUAAGAAAAGCUAAAUUGCUAAAUUUAAAAACAGGACCUCCUUAUUGCUUGAGCCUGCUAUAGUCUUAAGUUUUUUUUCUGGAGGGCCAUCAAUUGCUGCACGGGCUGCAUCGUGAACUUCUUCUGGAACAUGUUUACAAAUCUUAACACCACGGCCUGUCACUCCUGAUAAAUGCAAUUUGAUCCUCGAAAUGGAAGUACGUUUCCCAAAUAAAUGCCCACAAAACUUGUGUAAUUAUUCGCAUAAAAUUAUGUAGACGCGUAUGAUGAAAUUAAUAGCUUGUCGCUCAUAUAUGGUCGCAACUAGUUCUUCUAGUAGUGAGGAUGACAUGUUCUUAGGUGCCGAUCAAGAAGAGGCACCUGCACUGACUCGCGAUGUUGCCUCUUCCAGCGCAGUUUCACAGCGCAGAGAUGGUGUGCCUUCACAGUGAAAUCAAUUCACCAGCAAGUACGAGGUACAUUGGAAGGACGACCUUUCAAUGAAAGUUUGUUUCGGUUUUAAUUUUUUUUAAUUAUAACAUUAUUUAUGAACAACUAAUCAAUAUUUCAUUAAUUUAAUUUAUUUUCAAGUUCAUAAACAUUGAGGCCACCCGAGUAAUAUCAUUGGCGUUUAAAUCGUCGAUGGAGAUUCCAUAAUUUCAAUGGAGUCAGGUUUCCAGACAUCCUGAAUGGGGACCUUAUAUCGAUGCAUUGUUUGACAAAUUUGAGGUUGAUGUUAAUUUCUAAUUUCCAGCUUAUUUUUAAUAAAUUAUUAUUUUUAUUUUAAAUAAAUUAUUUAUACACAAGACAAAUUCGACUGGGACAACGUAUUUGACAAUGUUAUGAAAAGGGUGUGGGAAAAUCACUCGGCAACUAGAUAUGACACUAAAAACAAUUUGUCACUAUGGAAGUAGGUUGCAUAAUUUUUGAUAUGAAGCACAAGAAAGGAAAAAAAAAAACGCAAGAAAAAACGGUCUCCAAGGCAAGAAUGACGUGGCGGUUUGGAAGGAUUCAAACCGCUAUACAUCCUAGGAGAUGUAUGGCCGCAAUAUAUUGAGCACGUAACGUCUGAGCGGUUUACACGACACUCACAGUUUGGUGCUAGCAACCGGAACCAGCAAAUUCAUGGUUUGGUGACAACGUACAUCGGGGGCCCUGUUCUGUUUGUUAUACAUGCGAAACAGAUAGUAAGAUUAAUUUAAAUGAAAUAAAUCAUCAUUUCAAUUGGUUUUUACUUAAUUAAAUUUUUUUUUUUUACAGGCUACGUCUCUUGGACGUUAGCCGAACCCAAUGGAGCUGUUUGUAGAGACGCAUGUGUGGAGUGAAGACUAUCAAAAAGAGAUGCAACAGUUCGUUGACAACCGCACUUAAUACUUUGUGGUAUGUUUGUACAACCAUUUCAUUUCGUAAGUUAUUAAUUUUCUUGAAUUGAAUAUGUUUUGUUCAAGCUGAAAUUGCAUUAGUGACCUCGGUAUUGCUUGAGCCUGCUACAGUCUUUAGUUAUUUUUCCUGGAGAGCCAUCAAUUGCUGCACGGGCUGCAUCUUGAACUUCUUCUGGAACUUGUUUACAAAUCUUAACACCACGGCCUGUCACUUUAGUAUGAACACUAUAAGGUAUGGAUUAUAAGAAGUAAGAAAGAUAUUGAUUUAUUUAUAGAAACUACUGAUGAUCCUAACUCCAAAGUUUCUAAAUAAAAUUUCUACAACCUGUCCUUUACUUAAAAAGAUUCAAGCAGUAGUUGCAGGUGAAAAAGAGAAACACCAACAAGACGAAGAAGAUGAAGUAUAAGUACUUUACCUGGAUUCAAGAUGUCCUGCAAGAGCUGCUUUGCUUAAGCAGUAUUCAGAAAAAUAGAGCAGAAAGCACAGGCACGAGAAUAGUAUAUGGUUUUAAGAAAUAAUUUGCUGGGAACAGAGAAUGGUGUAAUGAGAUGCGAUGUGGAAGAGAUUGUUACAGUAAUAGCACAGAGAGAAGAACGGUUCAAGAGAAAACAAUAAUGGAGGUGAAUCAAAAUCUUUUUGGUUAAACAAAUAUAUAAUAUAAUAAUAAUUUAUAAUACAUAGUAUUUGUAUAAUCACAUUGCAUGAUACAUGCCUUAACCUCAAUAUUUUUUAAAAACAAAAAAUAUUUUGAUAGAUUAUUUUUUUUAUUAAUUAAUAUAUAAAUUAAUAAAUUAUUAACUUAUCAAAUAUCUUGAUUAAUUAAUCAAUUUUCAUUAUCCCAAAAUAUAUUAAUUUACAUAGAUUUAACUGUGCAUGGAAAUUUUAUGUGAUUGGAUUGAACCCAAGAAAGCUUUAAGAGCUUAAGAAAAAGCCUAAAAUGGCCCAUCUUCCCACAAUUUAAUUUUCUUUUGUUGUUGGUGGUGAGGAUAUUGACUCUAUCAGUUGUCUUAGCAGCGGAAAGCGCACCUGCAGAAUACCCUUGUCAGGUUAGUGACUCAUCAGUUGUAUUACUGAAGCCACUUGGACUAUCAGAAGAAGCAUUUGAUAAACAGAGGAAUCAAUAAGAAAGGAAGUCUUAAGGUUGGUAUUAUGAUAACAAAAUCAUCAGGUUGGUCAAAUCUACACACACACAUUAAUCAUUAAAUGGUUAUGGUUGAGGCUAAUAACUCAUUAAAAUUAAAUUAAAAGCAGACAGAGAGAUUCAGAGAAAGAAAUACAAUACCACAACUCGACGAAGGGAUUAGGGACAUCCUUGGCAUUAGGAUUCUCCCACUCCACCACUGACUCCCACCAUUAUUUUGGUUUUAUUUUCAUUCUUCUAAGAGAAGGAGGAGGAGAUGGCUGCCCAUUUUCAAGCAACAGAACACAAAUUUUCUUCUCCUCUAACUGGUACCGGAGCCUCUUCCAGCAAUGAACUUCUCCUCUAGUACAAAGACUUGCAGGCUAGAGAGUUGAGCCAAUAUCGCACCACAAAACUCCUUUUCAUCAUUCUAAGAAACCUCAGGUUGGAUAGAGAUUCCAUACCUUGAGGCAUCUUUUCAAGUGCACAAGUAUGAGAGAGAUCUAACCUUUUCAAUGCCCUCAGCUUUUUUAAUGAUGGUAAAUGCCUCAGGUUCAAACUCCAUGUGAGCAACAAUGCAGUGAGACUCACCAAACCAGAGAAAGAAUCAAUAAGGUUGACAGAUUUAGACACCUUGGUGAAAGGCUAGAGGGAAUUUCUUUAAUUUGGUUUUAUACUAGAGAAACUCCCACAAGAUUUUUCUUUAAUUUCUUUAACCGUGCCUUGAGAGUUCUCUUGCAUCAUGUGGCCAUCGUCAAUUUUUGCUUGCCUGCUCCUCAUCCCUUCCGUUAUUCCCUCCUUCCUUUCAAUCACAUGAUCUUCAGGAAAUAAUUCACAACAUAAUCAACUUCUUCCUUUCAAUCACACCUGGACCGUCGAAAAUUAUUGCUCAUAAUCAUCAAUCUGUGUUUAAAGUGUUACAGCUGAUAUAGUUACGGUAAGUGCAGGUUCAAUGAUUAGCUGACAGAUGCAUGGACAUGUUUUAGGAAGUUGUUAGAGUCAGUUAGAGUUAGUUAACAAUAGAAUAAAUCGUGUAAAGCAUGUUGGGGUUGCUAGCAGGAUUACGUAGAGGGCAUGCAAGAAAUUAACAGGAUCGUUUCUUCUCUCAACUCUCUGUUUCCUUCUUCUCCUCCCCUGUUAUCCUUCUCUUCUGCUCCCCAUGUUAAGCCAAGCAAUCAAGCUCAAUGCAACAAGAGUUAGGUUAAUUAAUCGAACUAAUGAUUGGGUCAAAUUUAAUAUAAACACACAGCAGUCAUUAAGUGGAUGUGGUUGAGGCUAAUAAUUCAUUUAAAUUAAAUUAAGAUUGUGAGAGAAGGAGAGGAAUUACCUGUAAUUAAUUCAAUAUCUAUUAUAUUAUAUUGAAGGU
RNAcentral lists this long non-coding RNA (31932 nucleotides) under Populus tremula. RNAcentral describes it as "long non-coding RNA (PTRE_LNC001723)". The record is from RNAcentral. Lineage: Eukaryota; Viridiplantae; Streptophyta; Magnoliopsida; Malpighiales; Salicaceae.